RNAcentral lists this long non-coding RNA (1987 nucleotides) under Homo sapiens (human). Its description in RNAcentral is "HSALNT0170000". Lineage: Eukaryota; Metazoa; Chordata; Mammalia; Primates; Hominidae. The record is from RNAcentral.
CUUCUCUGACUUCCCCCAUCCAAGUCAGUGCUUUCCUCCUCUAGGUGCCAGGUAACUUGAGCAAAUACCUCCGGUGAGAAUUUAUCACACAGGAUUGCAAUUUCUCUUGCUGGCUCAGGAGGUGCCUGGAGACAGGGAGUGUGUCUUGCUCACCUAGGUGCUUUUAGUGCCCUGCGCACAGCCUGAAAAUCACAGGCUUUAUGGCACCUUGGAAGAAACAAAAGCUUUACAGAGAAAAGGCUGGCUUGGCAGAGGGACCGGCUCCCUCCUCAAAUUACGGUUCUAUGUUCUGGUGCUUUGCUUUUUUUAAGCAGACAAAACACUUAAAGAUGCUAUAUUGAAGCUUCCUCUCUACUUUUCUCUCCUCCUCCAUUUCUUUAAUAAUUCUGGAAAAAUGAGUAGUUACAAAAUUAUAAAUGCAAUUUGCUUUGCUUGGUGCUUCAUUAGGCCCUCCCUCCCUCCUCUUCCUCUUCCUCCCCCCUCACUGGCUCUCUCUCUCUCUCUCUCUCUGUCUCUCUCUCUCUCCCUCUCCACCCACCUUUAUCCCUGAUGUAAUGUCUCUGAGUUUUUCUGGCUCCAGCUGUCCUCUCCUUGAAGCAGAAAGAAAGUGUGUGUGGGGGGGAGUUUGGGAAGAUAAUCUCGAUGUUAUUCAUAAGGCCACAUUUCGUUCCAGAAGCUUUGUUGGAUCCACAGUCGUGCAAACCUUCCACUCUUUCCCUCUCUUGGAGGAUCAAAUUUACAGUUCUCUUCUGGCUGUUCUUCAUGAUGGAGAAGAGCAAAGGCAAAGGCAAAGAAAUCGGAGAAAAACAUGGUUGAACUUUUCUUAACCCAGAAGUUAUUGCAGCUUUUACAUGAAAUUUCAAGCCAGAACUUCCAUGGGCGAGGCCGACUGCCUAUGCCUAGGAAAGCUCCCCGGACAGGAGUCUCCUCCACUGAGGUUCUGGUGGAAGGUGGCCAUUUCAAAUGAUGUCCAGGAAAUCUGACAUUGGGGCUCAGGCUCUGGCCUCAGCACCCCAUUAAUUAGUCUAACGUUCAUGGGUGUGACAGAGGCAGAAAAUAAAUCGUGUCUUUCAGUAGACCAGUGUUCUGCUGCUCUUGGAAUAGCAUUUUUCAUGGCGGUUUUGGGGAAGGAGAUGUGUGGGAAGACCCAUUGCAAAAAUAGCUACAGUCCUUAAACCCAUAGAGUUGGAAAGCAGAUUAGUGUUUGUCUUGGACUGGGGGUAUGGGGGAAAUUGGAGGGAAAUAGGAAGUGAUUGCUAAUGGGUAUGGAGUUUCUUUCUGGGGUUAAGAAAAUAUUCUAAAAUUGAUUGUGGUGAUGGAUGCACAACUCUGUGAAUAUACCAAAAACCAUUAAAUUGUACCCUUUAAAUGGGGGAAUUCUAUGGUAUGUGAAUUAUAUCCCAAUUUAAGCUGUUACAUUGAAAAGAAAAUAACCACAAUCCUUCAGUCUUUCUGUAUCUGUGCCUUUGCAUUGUGACUUUGCAGUUCUUCCCAUCUCUUUCCCCACCUGUUGACUCUGGGACACCUGAUGACUUUUGUUGGCCCAUGGGGUAUGGCCAAAGUGACCAUAUGCCAGUUUGGAACCUUAGUUCUUCAGAGGCCUUGCAUGCUCCUGCUAGCUCUCUUAUUUUGCUGUCUUUACUCUGAAAACUAGCCUGGGCUAGCCUGCUGGAAGAUGAGAGACCUGUGUAGCAAAGCUGAGUCAUCCCAGCUAUGUCCACCAUAGCCCACCUGUUAGUUGCCUUCAGAUACAAGAGAAAAAAUGGUUGCUGUUUUAUGCUAAGCACUGGGGCUAUUCUUUCUGCAGCAAUGGCUGACUGAUACAUAUGGCAAUCUCUCUGAGAUUCUAGAAAUGUAGGAGAAGAGUAUGCACAGCUUACUCUGGUUACCCACAAGGCCAAUAAUUUUGCUCAUAUUUUCAGUCUCUGACCAGAACUUUCCAAUGCUUUCAUUUUUCCUAUGAAACCUUCUUUCCUCUCCAUAGUAG